This is an RNA transcript of Gorilla gorilla gorilla (western lowland gorilla), 6968 nucleotides long. It is a transcript of the gene named pre-mRNA processing factor kinase PRP4K, with no coding region annotated. The transcript is spliced from 16 exons. The record is from RefSeq and is a predicted model, not a curated record. Lineage: Eukaryota; Metazoa; Chordata; Mammalia; Primates; Hominidae.
CGCGGCAGCUCUUUUCCUUCUUUCUCCACUUCCCCUACCCUCCACCGUCCGGGAGCCGCCGCCGCCGCCGCCGAGGAGUCAGGAAGUUCAAGAUGGCCGCCGCGGAGACCCAGUCGCUACGGGAGCAGCCAGAGAUAGAAGAUGCUAAUUCUGAAAAGAGUAUAAAUGAAGAAAAUGGAGAAGUAUCAGAAGACCAGUCUCAAAAUAAGCACAGUCGUCACAAAAAAAAGAAGCAUAAACACAGAAGUAAACAUAAGAAACAUAAACAUUCCUCAGAAGAAGACAAGGAUAAAAAACAUAAACAUAAGCAUAAACAUAAGAAACACAAAAGAAAAGAGGUUAUUGAUGCUUCUGAUAAAGAGGGUAUGUCUCCAGCAAAAAGAACUAAACUUGAUGAUUUAGCUUUGCUAGAAGACUUGGAAAAACAGAGAGCCUUGAUUAAGGCCGAACUUGAUAAUGAGUUAAUGGAAGGAAAGGUCCAGUCUGGUAUGGGGCUCAUUUUGCAAGGUUAUGAGUCUGGCUCUGAAGAAGAGGGGGAGAUUCAUGAAAAGGCAAGAAAUGGAAAUAGGUCUAGUACUAGAUCUUCAAGUACAAAGGGGAAACUUGAACUUGUGGACAAUAAAAUUACUACAAAAAAACGAAGUAAAAGCAGAUCCAAAGAACGGACUAGACAUAGGUCUGAUAAAAAGAAAAGUAAGGGGGGUAUUGAAAUCGUUAAAGAGAAAACAACUAGGAGCAAGUCAAAGGAGAGGAAAAAAUCUAAAAGCCCAUCCAAAAGAAGUAAGUCUCAAGAUCAAGCAAGGAAAUCAAAAUCCCCUACCCUUAGAAGGCGAUCUCAAGAGAAAAUUGGUAAGGCCAGAUCGCCUACUGAUGAUAAGGUUAAAAUUGAAGAUAAAAGUAAAUCAAAAGAUAGGAAAAAAUCCCCAAUUAUAAAUGAAAGUAGAAGUCGUGAUCGAGGUAAAAAAUCCAGAUCCCCAGUUGAUUUAAGAGGUAAAUCCAAAGACAGAAGGUCACGGUCCAAAGAGAGAAAAUCAAAACGGUCUGAAACUGAUAAAGAAAAGAAGCCAAUUAAAUCUCCCUCUAAAGAUGCUUCAUCUGGGAAAGAAAAUAGGUCACCCAGUAGAAGACCUGGUCGUAGUCCUAAAAGAAGAAGUUUGUCUCCAAAACCACGUGAUAAAUCAAGAAGAAGCAGGUCUCCACUUUUGAAUGAUAGAAGAUCUAAGCAGAGCAAAUCCCCCUCGCGGACACUGUCUCCUGGGAGAAGAGCCAAGAGCCGAUCCUUAGAAAGAAAACGACGAGAACCAGAGAGGAGACGACUUUCUUCUCCAAGAACACGACCUCGAGAUGAUAUCCUCAGUAGACGUGAAAGAUCAAAAGAUGCCAGCCCCAUCAAUAGAUGGUCUCCAACCCGAAGAAGAAGUAGAUCUCCCAUUAGAAGGAGGUCUCGUUCCCCACUCAGACGUAGCAGGUCUCCAAGAAGAAGAAGCAGAUCUCCUCGGAGAAGGGACAGAGGUCGGAGGAGCAGAUCACGCUUGCGAAGGCGGUCUCGAUCACGCGGUGGUCGUAGACGAAGGAGCAGAAGCAAAGUAAAGGAAGAUAAAUUUAAAGGAAGUCUUUCUGAAGGAAUGAAAGUUGAGCAGGAAUCUUCGUCUGAUGAUAACCUUGAAGACUUUGAUGUAGAGGAAGAAGAUGAAGAAGCCCUAAUAGAACAGAGAAGAAUCCAAAGGCAGGCAAUUGUUCAGAAAUAUAAAUACCUUGCUGAAGAUAGCAAUAUGUCUGUGCCAUCUGAACCAAGCAGCCCCCAGAGCAGUACGAGAACACGAUCACCAUCUCCAGAUGACAUUCUGGAGCGAGUAGCUGCUGAUGUUAAAGAGUAUGAACGGGAAAAUGUUGAUACAUUUGAGGCCUCAGUGAAAGCCAAGCAUAAUCUAAUGACAGUUGAACAGAAUAAUGGUUCAUCUCAGAAGAAGUUGUUGGCACCUGAUAUGUUUACAGAAUCUGAUGAUAUGUUUGCUGCAUAUUUUGAUAGUGCUCGUCUUCGGGCCGCUGGCAUUGGAAAAGAUUUCAAAGAGAAUCCCAACCUCAGAGAUAACUGGACCGAUGCAGAAGGCUAUUAUCGUGUGAACAUAGGUGAAGUCCUAGAUAAACGUUACAAUGUGUAUGGCUACACUGGGCAAGGUGUAUUCAGUAAUGUUGUACGAGCCAGAGAUAAUGCAAGAGCCAACCAAGAAGUGGCUGUAAAGAUCAUCAGAAACAAUGAGCUCAUGCAAAAGACUGGUUUAAAGGAAUUAGAGUUCUUGAAAAAACUUAAUGAUGCUGAUCCUGAUGACAAAUUUCAUUGUCUGAGACUCUUCAGGCACUUCUAUCACAAGCAGCAUCUUUGUCUCGUAUUCGAGCCUCUCAGCAUGAACUUACGAGAGGUGUUAAAAAAAUAUGGUAAAGAUGUUGGUCUUCAUAUUAAAGCUGUAAGAUCCUAUAGUCAGCAGUUGUUCCUGGCAUUGAAACUCCUUAAAAGAUGCAAUAUCCUACAUGCAGAUAUCAAGCCAGACAAUAUCCUGGUUAAUGAAUCCAAAACUAUUUUAAAGCUUUGCGAUUUUGGGUCGGCUUCACAUGUUGCGGAUAAUGACAUAACACCUUAUCUUGUCAGUAGAUUUUAUCGUGCUCCUGAAAUCAUUAUAGGUAAAAGCUAUGACUAUGGUAUAGAUAUGUGGUCUGUAGGUUGCACCUUAUACGAACUCUAUACUGGAAAAAUUUUAUUCCCUGGCAAAACCAAUAACCAUAUGCUGAAGCUUGCAAUGGAUCUCAAAGGAAAGAUGCCAAAUAAGAUGAUUCGAAAAGGUGUGUUCAAAGAUCAGCAUUUUGAUCAAAAUCUCAACUUCAUGUACAUAGAAGUUGAUAAAGUAACAGAGAGGGAGAAAGUUACUGUUAUGAGCACCAUUAAUCCAACUAAGGACCUGUUGGCUGACUUGAUUGGGUGCCAGAGACUUCCUGAAGACCAACGUAAGAAAGUACACCAGCUAAAGGACUUGUUGGACCAGAUUCUGAUGUUGGACCCAGCUAAACGAAUUAGCAUCAACCAGGCCCUACAGCAUGCCUUCAUCCAGGAAAAAAUUUAAACAAGAUGAAGAAACUCCAAGGGUUUGAGUAAAUACAAAGACUGAAGAAAUUUCACAGCAGUUUAUUAAUGUAUAUAAACUUAUAAAUAUUUCUCCAGCAAAUUUGAGGAAGCAUGAUAUAUUUGAAUUAACACCAAGGGUGAUAUUUCUUUUAGAAAUGUUAGUUAAUCUGUUUUGUGUCUUACGUGAAAUUUCACUGUAGAACUGUUUUAAAUUGCCAAGACUGCACAAAAUUACAGUGCUAAUGUAUAUGGUUGCAGUUCACAUAAAGACAAAAGCAUCUGUUAUGAAAUGAGUAGUAAUAUUGGGUGGUUGAUUUGUUCUUAGCAGACUUGGCUUCAUUUUGGUCUUGAGAUAAAAUGGCCAGCAUAAAUGCUGUUUAUAUUCACGUUUUCCUAGGUGUGUGUGUGCAGGCCACAGCAGCAUGCCCUUGGUGUAGUCAGUGCCGAAAGGGGUCUGUUCCUUCUUGAGCCUGCCUGCAGGGAUGGUCUCCUUUUAAAGCAGGUUGUGUGCAGCAUUCAGUACACUGAAGGUAAGCUAAACCAUCAACAUCUCUGGUGUUUUAAGAUGUUAUUUUAUUGGAACAACUGACAAAUGAGGGAUGUUAGCUUUGUGGCAGAAUUCCCUGCAUGUGUGAUAACUGAUCUUGUUUUAUUUUUUGGCAUUGCAACUGUGGCAUAGUUACAAUUUCUGUUUGUUCAUCACAUUUAAAAUUGGAAGAGAACGCGCUUGAUGGAUAGAGCGCCUUCAGUGUACUGUUUCUUAUUAACUUUACUUUUUUUAAAUCAACUUGCUAUAGACUUUAUAUACAUUUUGUUAAAUAUAGUUCCUAGUGACAUAGAAACGAUGCGUAGUUUUCAUUUACUAAUUACAAAUGUUGAGGCCUAAUUCUGAAAGUCCUCAUAUUUAAAGGCUAGACAACGUAAUGAAAUUUUUAACUAUUUGUAUGUCAUUUUGAAAGUGUACUGCUUUAUGGUAAAAGUGUUUUUCAUUUGUUCAUUGUUUUCAUUAUUUGUGAUCAUGUUGUCUUUCAAUACAGGCAUAAACCUUCCACUCUUGAACAAAGCAGCUGCUUUUUAAAAGCGAGAAAAAGGAAAACGGGGCACAGGCCAUUCGACGCCUUCUCCAAGGGGUCUGAUUUGCUGAGACACCAGCUUCACCUUCUUAACAAGGUUAUUUCUGACAGCAUGUGUAGAUAAACAUUUAGCAACAAUUUAAGACAAAAUCGUGUAAAUCAGCUUGGUUUUGCAACACAAAGGAAUUUGUAUUAUUAACAUGGUAGAAGAGAAUUUUUCAGAAAUAUAUGUGAUCUUUGCUGUUUGGGGGGUAAAAUUAAUGCUUGUCUCCCAGAGAAAUAUGGAAAAUAAUCAGAUUUUAGGGGUUUAAAUAAUAUUUUUAAAUUGUAAAUGGGAUUUUUUUAUUCACCCAGGCACCUAAUUACAACAAGCAUGCACAUUUUGGUGCAUUCAAGAAUGGAAAAUCAGAAUAGCAGCAUUGAUUCUUCUGGUGGGUUUUGCUCCAUUUAAAGACAUGAAAUGAACUACAGCCAGGAAGGUGAUAGAUGAUAUAAUAAGCCACCUCUGAACCUACACCCCGUCUCUUCACGGUUUAGACUUACUAAAAUAAAUACAAGGUGAUUUUCAUCUUCAGGUAGAGUGAAGCCUUUUAACUAAGGCGUCACAGGUGCAGCUAUUCUACCUUAAUGAAAUGGGUAGUGAUUUUCCCACCAUUAUUUAUUUCGGUGAUAAUAUGCUGCAUAUUCAAGUCUUUUGUAGUUAUUUUCACCCAAAGUAGUUGACAAUUUGAUGCUUCUGGUGAUGUUUAUGGCUUCAUUUUAUGUAAUUUUUUAAGUAAGUUCCACUAGAAACAGUUCAUCUUAUACCUUCAAAACUAUUACCUGUUCUUUAAAAAACAAAGUUGCUUGUUACUUGUUCUUUGUGUUUUAGGUGCAGCUCAGUGGAAGAUGAUGACAACCAGAAGACAUGAGCUAAGGUUUCUGUCCUAUAAAAGAUUUAUUAAAAAACAAUCCCUCAUUUAUUUUUUGUCUAAUUUUUUAGUUUUCAGCAUUAUGAUUUGGGUUUUAUUGGUGUUUGGUAUUUAGAAUUAGUGCUAUUGUGGUGUGCGUCUGUAAAGUGCUUGUUUUAUCAUACUUCCUGCCUCUCCCCCUCCCCCAGUUUCUCCUCCCCUAAAAUAAAAAUAGUGGUCAACUUUAGUAAUAUAAAAGGCUGCUGGAUGCUGAGAUUCCACAUAACACAUGGUUGUCAAAAUUGGAUGUUAAUGAUUCUUAGAAAAACAGCAACCACCAGAAUAGCAUAUAUCUAAAAGUGGUCUUCAGCUUUAGGCAGAUGCAAAAGAAUACAAACUGGAAUAUUCAGAAUACUGUUCAACUCCUUUAGUAUCUAUUCCCCAACUUACCCUUUAGAAACCUCGUUAUUAACCAGUGUUCCAGUCUUAAAGUAGACAAAAUAUUCAGAGCCAUUUUUUUUAAGGGAAAUGAAAAAGAUACUCUGGGUUUUUUAUGCUCCCCAAUGUAGCAUAUCUAGACUGCCUAUUUGAAAGAAACCCUAUCAACUGUCUUAUGUACGUUACAUGAUUUUCUUACACUCUGUAAUUUUGCUGAGGUGCAAUUUGGAACUCUGCAAGACCUACUAGAUUGAAUUUAUUUAGUGAAUGCUCCUUAAUAAAUUUGCAUUCCUCUUUUAGAGUAGCUGUAUAGUUUCCAGUGCUAUCUGCCAUGAAUUUUUUGCUUUUAUUAUACUUUAUGGCAAAAGUGAUAUCAAGUGAUUGUCAGACUUGAGGGCUCAUAGAAGUGUUAGGUAUGGCUCUCAAAGAUGUUACAGUUUUUUCUAGGGUUGGGAGAAUAGUUGAGAUCUGGAAAGCAUAGACAUUUUUUACACUCUGGAUAGACUUUAUUCUUGAAGGUCAUCAGAAAUGAGGUUGGAAUUUCGAGGUUUUGAGCAGGGGGAGGAUCUUAUAUUCACCCUUAAAUCGUUAUUAAUACAUCCCGUUUUCUUCAUUCCCUGAUAGCUAUCUCAUUUCACUCUACUUUCUCAAAAUUUUGUUUUAAAAUAAUAGAAAUGUUUUGCCAUUAUUAAGUACCACUUUAUUCCUAACAAAAAUAAGUACUCAGGACUUUUUUUUCAAUAUGAAAUAUUUAUGUACUGUUUUAUGGUAUGUGGUAGAGGAAGUAAAAUGUGAUGUUCUCAGUUUUGUUCCAUAUUUGCAUUCCUCUUAUGCUUUACCUGUAUUUUAUCAUUUGUAAGCAGAAUUCUAGCUAUAUGGGGUAGAAAUAAAAUCUCUGAGAUGAAACAAAGGAAUCAGCAUGAUAAAAUUUAGGCGAAGUAGUUAAGAAAUGGCCCUUUUGAAUGUUGAAGAUAGGAAAGAAGCCAUAUAUUCAAAUAUGUAAUUUUCCUCCUUUAGUUAUAAUGACAUCUUUGCCAAUUGGGCUUCAUAAAUGUGUUUCUUUCUUAAUAGUAUCCUAGUUCCAGCAUAUAUUCAACAUGAAUUUUAUCAUUCUCCUAAUGGAAUGUCUUCCUUAUAGAAAUGUUCACGACAAAUUCAUUUGUGUUUUUUACAUGUCAAUAAUGUAUGCUAAAUUAAAAUGUUUUCCAGUUAUUCUGAUAGAUGUCAUUAUGGCAUCCUUAAUUUUUCUUCUCCUUCUGUAUAUAGGGUAAGGGACUGUUCUGAAGAACCUUUCCAUUUAGUGAUCAAGAUAUGGAAGCUGAUUUCUGAAAAUGCUCAGUGUGUACUCUAAUUAUUUAUGGUACCAUUUGAAUUGUAACUUGCAUUUUAGCAGUGCAUGUUUCUAAUUGACUUACUGGGAAACUGAAUAAAAUAUGCCUCUUAUUAUCA